RNAcentral lists this microRNA (19 nucleotides) under Chlamydomonas reinhardtii. RNAcentral's name for it is "cre-miR1161a". The record is from miRBase by way of RNAcentral. Lineage: Eukaryota; Viridiplantae; Chlorophyta; Chlorophyceae; Chlamydomonadales; Chlamydomonadaceae.
UACUGGAGUUCUCAACAGC